This 460-nucleotide ribosomal RNA is filed under the name uncultured bacterium. RNAcentral's name for it is "partial 16S ribosomal RNA". It matches the Rfam family "Bacterial small subunit ribosomal RNA", at positions 338 to 795 of the family's 1533-position model. The record is from RNAcentral.
CCUACGGGUGGCAGCAGUGAGGAAUAUUGGUCAAUGGACGAGAGUCUGAACCAGCCAAGUAGCGUGAAGGAUGACUGCCCUAUGGGUUGUAAACUUCUUUUAUAUGGGAAUCACAUGUUCCACGUGUGGGCUUUUGUAUGUACCAUAUGAAUAAGGAUCGGCUAACUCCGUGCCAGCAGCCGCGGUAAUACGGAGGAUCCGAGCGUUAUCCGGAUUUAUUGGGUUUAAAGGGAGCGUAGGUGGAUUGUUAAGUCAGUUGGGAAAGGUUGCGGCUCAACCGUAAAAUUGCAGUUGAAACUGGCAGUCUGGAGUACAGUAGAGGUGGGCGGAAUUCGUGGUGUAGCGGUGAAAUGCUUAGAUAUCAUGAAGAACUCCGAUCGCGAAGGCAAGUGUCCGGGGUGCAACUGACGCUGAGGCUCGAAAGUGCGGGUAUCAAACAGGAUUAGAUACCCUGGUAGUC